RNAcentral lists this ribosomal RNA (253 nucleotides) under uncultured bacterium. Its description in RNAcentral is "partial 16S ribosomal RNA". It matches the Rfam family "Bacterial small subunit ribosomal RNA", at positions 524 to 776 of the family's 1533-position model. The record is from RNAcentral.
UACGAACUGUGCAAACGUUAUUCGGAAUCACUGGGCUUAAAGGGUGCGUAGGCGGCUUGUUAAGUAGGGUGUGAAAGCCCCCGGCUCAACCGGGGAAUUGCGCCCUAAACUGGCGAGCUGGAGUGAGAUAGGGGUGUGUGGAACUUCCGGUGGAGCGGUGAAAUGUGUUGAUAUCGGAAGGAACGCCAGUGGCGAAAGCGACACACUGGGUCUCAACUGACGCUGAGGCACGAAAGCCAGGGGAGCAAACGGG